UGCUGACAUAAGUAACGAUAAAGCGGGUGAAAAGCCCGCUCGCCGGAAGACCAAGGGUUCCUGUCCAACGUUAAUCGGGGCAGGGUGAGUCGACCCCUAAGGCGAGGCCGAAAGGCGUAGUCGAUGGGAAACGGGUUAAUAUUCCCGUACUUGGUGUUACUGCGAAGGGGGGACGGAGAAGGCUAUGUUGGCCGGGCGACGGUUGUCCCGGUUUAAGCGUGUAGGUGUGUGUUCCAGGUAAAUCCGGUUCACUUUAACACUGAGGCGUGACGACGAGGCACUACGGUGCUGAAGCAACAAAUGCCCUGCUUCCAGGAAAAGCCUCUAAGCAUCAGGUAACACGAAAUCGUACCCCAAACCGACACAGGUGGUCAGGUAGAGAAUACCAAGGCGCUUGAGAGAACUCGGGUGAAGGAACUAGGCAAAAUGGUGCCGUAACUUCGGGAGAAGGCACGCUGACAC
RNAcentral lists this ribosomal RNA (462 nucleotides) under Salmonella enterica. RNAcentral describes it as "partial 23S ribosomal RNA". It matches the Rfam family "Bacterial large subunit ribosomal RNA", at positions 1295 to 1757 of the family's 2925-position model. RNAcentral also lists the same sequence under 1 other name. Lineage: Bacteria; Pseudomonadati; Pseudomonadota; Gammaproteobacteria; Enterobacterales; Enterobacteriaceae. The record is from RNAcentral.